GGGCCGGUAGUCUAGCUCGGUUAGGACACAGCCUUUACGAGGCUGAGGUCGAGAGUUCAAGUCUCUCCCGGCCCACCA
This 78-nucleotide transfer RNA is filed under the name Candidatus Bathyarchaeota archaeon. Its description in RNAcentral is "tRNA-Val". It matches the Rfam family "tRNA". Rfam says of the family: Transfer RNA (tRNA) molecules are approximately 80 nucleotides in length. Their secondary structure includes four short double-helical elements and three loops (D, anti-codon, and T loops). Lineage: Archaea; Thermoproteati; Candidatus Bathyarchaeota. The record is from RNAcentral. RNAcentral also lists the same sequence under 1 other name.